RNAcentral lists this ribosomal RNA (253 nucleotides) under uncultured bacterium. RNAcentral describes it as "partial 16S ribosomal RNA". It matches the Rfam family "Bacterial small subunit ribosomal RNA", at positions 524 to 776 of the family's 1533-position model. The record is from RNAcentral.
CACGGGGGGAGCAAGCGUUGUUCGGAAUCACUGGGCGUAAAGGGCGUGUAGGCGGUCAAGUAAGUGGAAUGUGAAACGCCUCGGCUUACCCGAGGACCUGCAUCCCAAACUGCUUGGCUUGAGUAUGGGAGAGGAUGAGGGAAUUCCUGGUGUAGCGGUGAAAUGCGCAGAUAUCAGGAAGAACACCCGUGGCGAAGGCGGCUCUCUGGGACGGUACUGACGCUGAGACGCGAAAGCGUGGGGAGCGAACAGG